GCCCCGUUGGUCUAGCGGUUAGGACGCCGGCCUCUCACGCCGGUAUCACGGGUUCGAAUCCCGUACGGGGUACCC
Molecule: transfer RNA, 75 nt
Filed under: Myxococcales bacterium
Lineage: Bacteria; Pseudomonadati; Myxococcota; Myxococcia; Myxococcales
Description: tRNA-Glu
Rfam family: tRNA
About the family: Transfer RNA (tRNA) molecules are approximately 80 nucleotides in length. Their secondary structure includes four short double-helical elements and three loops (D, anti-codon, and T loops).
Source: RNAcentral